Molecule: ribosomal RNA, 492 nt
Filed under: uncultured bacterium
Lineage: Bacteria
Description: partial 16S ribosomal RNA
Rfam family: Bacterial small subunit ribosomal RNA
Source: RNAcentral
AGUGAACGCUGGCGGUAGGCCUAACACAUGCAAGUCGAACGGCAGCACAGUAAGAGCUUGCUCUUACGGGUGGCGAGUGGCGGACGGGUGAGGAAUACAUCGGAAUCUACUUUUUCGCGGGGGAUAACGUAGGGAAACUUACGCUAAUACCGCAUACGACCUACGGGUGAAAGCAGGGGAUCUUCGGACCUUGCGCGAUUGAAUGAGCCGAUGUCGGAUUAGCUAGUUGGCGGGGUAAAGGCCCACCAAGGCGACGAUCCGUAGCUGGUCUGAGAGGAUGAUCAGCCACACUGGAACUGAGACACGGUCCAGACUCCUACGGGAGGCAGCAGUGGGGAAUAUUGGACAAUGGGCGCAAGCCUGAUCCAGCCAUACCGCGUGGGUGAAGAAGGCCUUCGGGUUGUAAAGCCCUUUCGUUGGGAAAGAAAAGCAGCAGGUUAAUACCCCGCUGUUCUGACGGUACCCAAAGAAUAAGCACCGGCUAACUUCGUG